This 825-nucleotide long non-coding RNA is filed under the name Homo sapiens (human). RNAcentral describes it as "non-protein coding lnc-ZNF485-68:22". The record is from RNAcentral. Lineage: Eukaryota; Metazoa; Chordata; Mammalia; Primates; Hominidae.
AUUGUUACAUCUUCCCGGCUGGUCUCUCCUCUUUCCCAGCAUCUCCUUCUUCUCCCUCUGCUGGAAUAAUGACUUUGUACUGAAUUCUCACAGGAAGUCUCAGACGAAGACACUGCUAACUCCACUUUCAGAGAGAAACACUGAGGCUCAGAGCUAAACUAACUCGCCUCAGAGCCCACAUCCUGGACUUGAGCCUCAGGGUGUUGCAUGCCAAAGCCUGUCCUCUUCACCCCAGCUUCCUGGGCAUUGGAGCGGAUCCAUAGUGUUAGAUAUGCAGUGGGAAUGGCCCCCAUUCCAAGCCACUUCCUGACCUGAUGGCAGCACCCUGCUAGUCCUCACAUGGAGCCCUGGAGAAGCCGGGUUCCUUAACCCAGAUUUGAAUCAAUAGCCUCACACCUGGUAUGCACAUCCAGGCCAAGUGUGGCUGAAUGGGGAGCAUCUGUUCUGGAGACGGCCACCCUCAUGGGCUCCUCUGCUUCCUGUCCCUUCGGGCACUGAUUUAUGGCACACAGCAGGGAAGGGCCUGAGCUUGAGCCCUGACCAUCGUUAUCAUCACCAUCUUCAUUCCAGUGCAGUGAAGAACAUUCUGAAGGUAGAGAUGAAGGUCUUCUUUCUGAAUGAAGCUCCUUGCAUGAUUCAGGGAUCUUCCUCUUGAAGGCACCAAUCAUUUUGACUUUAAUGCAUGCACUCUGACUUACUUGUGGUGAUCUCUCCUGGAAAUACAUGGAAAAAUGAAAAAUAGGCUAACUGGGGAGAUUUCUUAAAUACCAGUUUGUAUGGCUGUGUUAACCUGAAUGAUUAAAUAUAGGAUUGUUUUUUAAGUUA